CAGCAGUGGACAAGCCUUGAGGACAGCGAGCCCUCAACUGGGCCUGGCACCACAGUGGGCAGUGACCCGCCGGGUCGUUCCGUCUACCCCGAGCGAGCUGGGUCCUGAUCCUGCAGCUCCUGGAGGGACAGGGGUCAUAGGUGAAGUACACCUGGCAGGCCUCGAUCUCCAGAGCGUCCGGGAGGUGGAAGAAGAAAUAGCCCUGAUUGGUGAAGCAACUGGUCAGCGAGUGGCCGCUGGUCUCGGCUGAGGACGAGGAGGGCACCUUCUCCUGCUGUAGCAGGAGCAACUGUGUGGCCUUGGCGUCCCUGUCCAGCACCUCCAGCGGGGAGAUCUCGGGGGCCGGCGUGUUGGGGCUGAAGGACGACGAGGGGAAGGGAGAGGAGAGCCACUUCUGCUAGGAGAAAGAGCAGCGGGGAGGUGAGUGGGACGCCUCCUCCAGACUCUCAGCCACAACUCCUCUAACUACCAGCUACGCAGGGCGGCCACCUCCAGGAAGGCCUCCCUGACUGCCCGCCCGCCAACUGGCUUGGGGAACGCUCUGGGUCAGCCCAGGGAGUGUGCUUGCUGUAGGCGCCCGGGGGACGCGUUGUCUCCGCGCGCGACUGUCUCUGGGGCACCUGCUGUGAAUCAGCCUGGCGCUGAUCUAGGCACCGCACCGGGCACAGGGCAAAAGCCUCCGUGUGUCUGGUGGGGGCUGGCACCGGUGUGAGAAUCAACCAACCCGUGUUGGAAGCGGAAAGGGCCCUGGAGCACAUCUCGUUCACUUCACAGAUGCACGGAGAGGGGACGUGCCCCGGGGCCGAUCACACAGCCAGUGGCCCCGGGCGCCGUGGAAAAAAAAAAAAAAACUCUCUGGCGGGGACCUGAUGGCCCCGCAAUUCUCCUCUCCCUCCCAGCGCCGUGGAGCCCCCACCUCCCGCGCCCUCCAUCCACGGAGAGAAGAAAGUGCCCGCCUGAGCCCUUCCCACUUGGCUCUGGGAUCCGGAGGGCCCUGGCAAGAGCAGGGAGAACCACGUUCCAGUCCGGGCCCCGGCCCCCUCGCUAGCUGUGCGACCCCGGGGGCGGGUCACUGCACCUCUCUGAGCCUCAAUUCCACAACAGCGAGGAAACGGAGCACAGAGAAGUUCUCUAACUUACCAAACAUCACACAGCCAAGAAGGAGCGGAGACUUAGAACCCAGUAAGUCUGGCUCAGACGGGAGGUGCCAUUCAGCCUGAGAAGGCUGGUGCCAGAGCUGGGGAAAGGGGCCCACCCCCACCCCGGAGGCUACUCCCUUACUUAUUUUGUCUCCUUUCGCAAAGCGCGAACCCACUCACACCUCUGCCCGCUCUCUGGCCAGCCCAAGCCGGCCGUGCCUGCUUCUGGCCUCCACCUCCAGAGUCCUACCUGGAAAUCUCCUCCAUGCACUGACUUCAGCUGGGAGAAGAAUUCUGAGGGAUCUGGGAUGUGACAUUUCAGAACUUUCUUCAGCCUGAACAGGAGAGAGGGAGGGAGGGAAGGUGGAUGAGAAGGGAAGGGGGCCAUGGUGUCCGGCCAGCCCCCCACGGCCCUGAAGGUAGGGUACCGAACCCCUCCACAUUCAUUCAUUUGAUCAGUAUCAAGGGAAUGCCCAGUAAGGGAGGGGACACAAGAAUGGCCAACAGAGAAGGCCCCGGAUCUUAAGAAGAGACAGACCCGAACCAAGUGUGCGACAUUAUCAUGCAUUCUAUGCAAACAGAAAGCAGCGGACUGUGAAAGAGAAAA
Long non-coding RNA from Felis catus (domestic cat), 1746 nucleotides. RefSeq lists it as uncharacterized. The record is from RefSeq and is a predicted model, not a curated record. The transcript has 3 exons. Lineage: Eukaryota; Metazoa; Chordata; Mammalia; Carnivora; Felidae.